RNAcentral lists this ribosomal RNA (468 nucleotides) under uncultured bacterium. Its description in RNAcentral is "partial 16S ribosomal RNA". It matches the Rfam family "Bacterial small subunit ribosomal RNA", at positions 28 to 507 of the family's 1533-position model. The record is from RNAcentral.
GACGAACGCUGGCGGCGUGCUUAACACAUGCAAGUCGAACGGAAAGGCCCUGCUUUUGUGGGGUGCUCGAGUGGCGAACGGGUGAGUAACACGUGAGUAACCUGCCCUUGACUUUGGGAUAACUUCAGGAAACUGGGGCUAAUACCGGAUAGGAGCUCCUGCUGCAUGGUGGGGGUUGGAAAGUUUCGGCGGUUGGGGAUGGACUCGCGGCUUAUCAGCUUGUUGGUGGGGUAGUGGCUUACCAAGGCUUUGACGGGUAGCCGGCCUGAGCGGGUGACCGGCCACAUUGGGACUGAGAUACGGCCCAGACUCCUACGGGAGGAAGCAGUGGGGAAUAUUGCACAAUGGGCGGAAGCCUGAUGCAGCAACGCCGCGUGCGGGAUGACGGCCUUCGGGUUGUAAACCGCUUUCGCCUGUGACGAAGCGUGAGUGACGGUAAUGGGUAAAGAAGCACCGGCUAACUACGUG